Molecule: transfer RNA, 77 nt
Filed under: Clostridia bacterium
Lineage: Bacteria; Bacillati; Bacillota; Clostridia
Description: tRNA-Gln
Rfam family: tRNA
About the family: Transfer RNA (tRNA) molecules are approximately 80 nucleotides in length.
Source: RNAcentral
UGGGGUAUCGCCAAGUCGGUGAAGGCACAAGACUUUGACUCUUGUAUUCGCAGGUUCGAGUCCCGCUACCCCAGCCA